AUGCAAGGUAUGGCGUUAGCUAUACAACACUCGGACCUCCCGGUGGUGGUGCAGUCGGACUCCUUGGAGGCUUUGUCCAGUCUUUCCAAUAAUGCUCUUUGUAAAUCAGCUUAUGGCCACCUUGUGCUGGAGAUCAAGGAUUUGUUAGGUACUAGGGAGUUUUUUCCUUUGAAGAUUACCCGUUCUCAGAAUAGAGUUGCCGAUCGUCUGGCCCAUUAUAGCCGCACGGAGCGAACUACUGCUGUGUGGUUGGGCUCAGUACCACCGUGUAUUGAGGAUUUGUGGCCUCAAGACUGUAACUCUGUCAUUAUGCAAUAA
Molecule: ribosomal RNA, 318 nt
Filed under: Triticum aestivum (bread wheat)
Lineage: Eukaryota; Viridiplantae; Streptophyta; Magnoliopsida; Poales; Poaceae
Description: partial small subunit ribosomal RNA
Source: RNAcentral